This 335-nucleotide unclassified non-coding RNA is filed under the name soil metagenome. RNAcentral's name for it is "partial contains 5.8S ribosomal RNA, internal transcribed spacer 2, and large subunit ribosomal RNA". The stretch from base 1 to 120 matches the Rfam family "5.8S ribosomal RNA", at positions 35 to 154 of the family's 154-position model. The record is from RNAcentral.
GAUGAAGAACGCAGCGAAAUGCGAUAAGUAGUGUGAAUUGCAGAAUUCAGUGAAUCAUCGAAUCUUUGAACGCACAUUGCGCCCCUUGGUACUCCAUGGGGCAUGUCUGUUCGAGCGUCAUUUACACCCUCAAGCUCAGCUUGGUGUUGGGCGUCUGUCCCGCUUCGUGCGCGGACUCGCCUCAAAUGCAUUGGCAGCGGUCUUGCCAGCUUCUCGCGCAGCACAUUGCGCUUCUAGAGGCUUUGGCGGAUCGGCGUCCAUCAAGUACACCCACAGUUUGACCUCGGAUCAGGUAGGGAUACCCGCUGAACUUAAGCAUAUCAAUAAGCGGAGGA